Molecule: long non-coding RNA, 274 nt
Organism: Nyctereutes procyonoides (raccoon dog)
Lineage: Eukaryota; Metazoa; Chordata; Mammalia; Carnivora; Canidae
Exons: 3
Source: RefSeq, a predicted model, not a curated record
CGUUUCUUCCAGAGCCUGGCCUGCGUGCACUGUGGGGACAAGAGCACGAGCAUCCAGGUUCUCUGUCGGGGUCACAGGAUGGCGGCCAUGGUUCUGUCUCCCACCUGCGCUCAGCCUUCCCUGUACUCGGCCUCCCCUCAGAGAGGAUGCGUGGAGGGGGAAGGGUUGGCUCAUGGCUUCCUGACAGGCUGGUUACCGGACUCGGUGACCUUCGAGGAUGUGGCGGUGGAGUUCAGCCAGGAGGAGUGGGCCCUGCUGGACCCUUCUCAGAGAA